Molecule: microRNA, 22 nt
Filed under: Haplochromis burtoni (Burton's mouthbrooder)
Lineage: Eukaryota; Metazoa; Chordata; Actinopteri; Cichliformes; Cichlidae
Description: abu-miR-10556b
Source: miRBase by way of RNAcentral
GGAAGAAAAACGUCUGGACUUC